CCUACGGGGCGCAGCAGUAGGGAAUAUUGCUCAAUGGGGGAAACCCUGAAGCAGCAACGCCGCGUGGAGGAUGAAGGUUUUCGAAUUGUAAACUCCUUUUGUUAGAGAAGAUAAUGACGGUAUCUAACGAAUAAGCACCGGCUAACUCCGUGCCAGCAGCCGCGGUAAUACGGAGGGUGCAAGCGUUACUCGGAAUCACUGGGCGUAAAGAGCGCGUAGGCGGGAUGGCAAGUCAGAUGUGAAAUCCAGGGGCUCAACCCCUGAACUGCAUUUGAAACUGUCGUUCUUGAGUACUGGAGAGGUUG
RNAcentral lists this ribosomal RNA (305 nucleotides) under uncultured bacterium. RNAcentral's name for it is "bacterial SSU rRNA". It matches the Rfam family "Bacterial small subunit ribosomal RNA", at positions 338 to 660 of the family's 1533-position model. The record is from RNAcentral.